This 468-nucleotide ribosomal RNA is filed under the name uncultured bacterium. Its description in RNAcentral is "partial 16S ribosomal RNA". It matches the Rfam family "Bacterial small subunit ribosomal RNA", at positions 28 to 507 of the family's 1533-position model. The record is from RNAcentral.
GACGAACGCUGGCGGCGUGCUUAACACAUGCAAGUCGAACGGAAAGGCCCUGCUUUUGUGGGGUGCUCGAGUGGCGAACGGGUGAGUAACACGUGAGUAACCUGCCCUUGACUUUGGGAUAACUUCAGGAAACUGGGGCUAAUACCGGAUAGGAGCUCCUGCUGCAUGGUGGGGGUUGGAAAGUUUCGGCGGUUGGGGAUGGACUCGCGGCUUAUCAGCUUGUUGGUGGGGUAGUGGCUUACCAAGGCUUUGACGGGUAGCCGGCCUGAGAGGGUGACCGGCCACAUUGGGACUGAGAUACGGCCCAGACUCCUACGGGAGGCAGCAGUGGGGAAUAUUGCACAAUGGGCGGAAGCCUGAUGCAGCAACGCCGCGUGCGGGAUGACGGCCUUCGGGUUGUAAACAGCUUUCGCCGGUGACGAAGCGUGAGUGACGGUAAUGGGUAAAGAAGCACCGGCUAACUACGUG